UCCCGUGAUGGCAUGAAAUCUUUGAGACCUGAGUAAUUACUUGAUGAAAAAUCUCAAGCAUGAUUCCUGAGGGC
This is a small nucleolar RNA of Phragmites australis (common reed), 74 nucleotides long. RefSeq annotates it as small nucleolar RNA R66. The record is from RefSeq and is a predicted model, not a curated record. NCBI's taxonomy places the organism in Eukaryota, Viridiplantae, Streptophyta, Magnoliopsida, Poales, Poaceae. The transcript has a single exon.